CAAUAGCAUAUAUUAAAGUUGUUGCGGUAAAAAAGCUCGUAGUUGGAUUUCUGUUGAGAGCGACCGGUCCAUACCAUGUAUGCGUAUCUGGCUUGCUCUCGGCAUCCUCUCGAUAGACGUUACUGCGCUUGAUUGCGUGGUGCGGAUCUCGGGACUUUUACUUUGAGGAAAUUAGAGUGUUCACGGCAGGCUUUCGCCAGAAUACAUUAGCAUGGAAUAAUACUAUAGGAUCUUGGUUCUAUUUUGUUGGUUUCUAGAAUUGAGAUAAUGAUUAAUAGGGACAAUUGGGGGCAUUCGUAUCAACACGUCAGAGGUGGAAUUCUUGGAUUGUGUUGCGACGAACUACUGCGAAAGCAUUUGCCAAGGAUGUUUUCAUUGA
This 379-nucleotide ribosomal RNA is filed under the name uncultured eukaryote. Its description in RNAcentral is "partial 18S ribosomal RNA". It matches the Rfam family "Eukaryotic small subunit ribosomal RNA", at positions 592 to 976 of the family's 1831-position model. The record is from RNAcentral.